Molecule: ribosomal RNA, 535 nt
Filed under: uncultured bacterium
Lineage: Bacteria
Description: bacterial SSU rRNA
Rfam family: Bacterial small subunit ribosomal RNA
Source: RNAcentral
AGGGUUUGAUUCUGGCUCAGGACGAACGCUGGCGGCGUGCUUAACACAUGCAAGUCAAGGAGAACGUAUUCUUCGGAAUACUAUUAAACUGGCGAACGGGUGAGUAACGCGUAGGUAACUUGCCUUAAAGUUUGGGAUAACUUUGGGAAACUGAAGCUAAUACCGGAUAAUGCAGUUAAUUCUCAGGUGUAUACUGUUAAAGCGGGCUUCGGCUCGCGCUUUAAGAUAGGCCUGCGUCCGAUUAGUUUGUUGGUGAGGUAACGGCUCACCAAGGCGAUGAUCGGUAGCUGGUUUGGGAGGAUGAUCAGCCACACUGGGAUUGAGAUACGGCCCAGACUCCUACGGGAGGCAGCAGUGGGGAAUUUUGCACAAUGGGCGAAAGCCUGAUGCAGCAACGCCGCGUGACCGAUGAAGCUUUUCGGAGUGUAAAGGUCUGUCGUGAGGGAAGAACAACUUGGAUGCAAAUAGUGUUUGAGUCUGACGGUACCUCACAAGAAAGCACCGGCUAACUUCGUGCCAGCCGCCGCGGUAAUAC